Molecule: ribosomal RNA, 274 nt
Filed under: uncultured bacterium
Lineage: Bacteria
Description: partial 16S ribosomal RNA
Rfam family: Bacterial small subunit ribosomal RNA
Source: RNAcentral
AUACGGAGGGGGCUAGCGUUGUUCGGAAUUACUGGGCGUAAAGCGCGCGUAGGCGGGUUGGCAAGUUGAAGGUGAAAUCCCAGGGCUCAACCCUGGAACUGCCUCCAAAACUGCCAGUCUUGAGUUCGGAAGAGGUGAGUGGAAUUCCUAGUGUAGAGGUGAGAUUCGUAGAUAUUAGGAAGAACACCAGUGGCGAAGGCGACUCACUGGUCCGAUACUGACGCUGAGGUGCGAAAGCGUGGGGAGCAAACAGGAUUAGAUACCCCGGUAGUCC